Molecule: long non-coding RNA, 473 nt
Organism: Brassica oleracea var. oleracea
Lineage: Eukaryota; Viridiplantae; Streptophyta; Magnoliopsida; Brassicales; Brassicaceae
Exons: 2
Source: RefSeq, a predicted model, not a curated record
UUUUUCGGUUUGCCCAAAUCUUAAUCCUUCAUUUCGUCUAGAUUUUUCUCGCCUACUGCGAAACUUGAUAGUCACCGGUUACAAAUCAAAGGUUCACCCACAUCAUCCACUAAUUAAUCAUUUACUCUCCCCCUUUAGUUUAGUAAUCGAUUCAGUUUUUGAGAUCCCGAAUAAUCUGAGAGGAUUUUUAAUUACGAUGGCGACUAAUCUGAGGUGGAGGAUUAGCCAGAGAUGGAAGGAAAGUGGGUAGGGAGGACGCCGGAGGGAGUGGGACUGGUGGUGAAGCUAGCUGGCGGCGAUUAAGUAGCAGACAGGGAUGAUUGCGAAGUAAACUGUCAAAGAAUAAUACUGAACAUAAUUUGCAGUGUCGCCACCUGCUAAAAAGAUAUGUGGAACUUUAAGUCAAUGACAUAUGAUGAUCCAAUGAAGUUUGGGUUUGGCUCACCAGGAAUCAAAGAUAAGAAGAAGAAGAA